Molecule: ribosomal RNA, 763 nt
Filed under: uncultured Streptococcus sp.
Lineage: Bacteria; Bacillati; Bacillota; Bacilli; Lactobacillales; Streptococcaceae
Description: bacterial SSU rRNA
Rfam family: Bacterial small subunit ribosomal RNA
Source: RNAcentral
GACGAACGCUGGCGGCGUGCCUAAUACAUGCAAGUAGAACGCUGAAGGAGGAGCUUGCUUCUCCGGAUGAGUUGCGAACGGGUGAGUAACGCGUAGGUAACCUGCCUGGUAGCGGGGGAUAACUAUUGGAAACGAUAGCUAAUACCGCAUAAGAGUAGAUGUUGCAUGACAUUUGCUUAAAAGGUGCAAUUGCAUCACUACCAGAUGGACCUGCGUUGUAUUAGCUAGUUGGUGGGGUAACGGCUCACCAAGGCGACGAUACAUAGCCGACCUGAGAGGGUGAUCGGCCACACUGGGACUGAGACACGGCCCAGACUCCUACGGGAGGCAGCAGUAGGGAAUCUUCGGCAAUGGACGGAAAUCUGACCGAGCAACGCCGCGUGAGUGAAGAAGGUUUUCGGAUCGUAAAGCUCUGUUGUAAGAGAAGAACGAGUGUGAGAGUGGAAAGUUCACACUGUGACGGUAUCUUACCAGAAAGGGACGGCUAACUACGUGCCAGCAGCCGCGGUAAUACGUAGGUCCCGAGCGUUGUCCGGAUUUAUUGGGCGUAAAGCGAGCGCAGGCGGUUAGAUAAGUCUGAAGUUAAAGGCUGUGGCUUAACCAUAGUACGCUUUGGAAACUGUUUAACUUGAGUGCAAGAGGGGAGAGUGGAAUUCCAUGUGUAGCGGUGAAAUGCGUAGAUAUAUGGAGGAACACCGGUGGCGAAAGCGGCUCUCUGGCUUGUAACUGACGCUGAGGCUCGAAAGCGUGGGGAGCAAACAGG